GUCCCCUCUGACUUCAAGUUGGCCAGGGUCGCUCCCUUCCUCGAGCCCGCUGACAUCAAAAACAACCUUUCUUUGAUUUCUAAAACACUUCGGCGUGCUCUCUCUGACAAACUUUCUCACAAUCUGUCUCAGAAUGAUCUUCUGGACCCUAACAAGUCAGUCUUCAAGACGGAUCAUUCAACCAAGACUGCUCUUCUCUGUGUCACAGAGGAUCUCCGCUCUACCAAAUCUGACUCUCUCUCCUCUGUUCUCAUCCUCCUAGAUCUAUCCGUUGCCUUCAACAACGUGAACCAUCAGAUCCUCCUCUCCACCCUCUCAGGGCUGGGUGUCUCAGACUCUAUCAGAUCCUCCUCUCCACUCUCUCAGGGCUGGGUGUCUCAGACUCUAUCAGAUCCUCCUCUCCACCCUCUCAGGGCUGGGUGUCUCAAACUCUAUCAGAUCCUCCUCUCCACUCUCUCAGGGCUGGGUGUCUCAGACUCUAUCAGAUCCUCCUCUCCACCCUCUCAGGGCUGUGCAUCUCAGACUCUAUCAGAUCCUCCUCUCCACCCUCUCAGGGCUGUGCAUCUCAGACUCUAUCAGAUCCUCCUCUCCACCCUCUCAGGGCUGGGUGUCUCAGACUCUAUCAGAUCCUCCUCUCCACCCUCUCAGGGCUGGGUGUCUCAGACUCUAUCAGAUCCUCCUCUCCACCCUCUCAGGGCUGAGUGUCUCAGACUCAGCACACUCCUGGUGGCGUGGAUAGUAUCUGUACCACGUAUUGUCACUGGCGUCCCGCUCUCCUCUCCUCUCUAUAGACCAAGUCACUGGUCAUAUCCUCACAUGGUCUCUCCUAUGCAUCUCUGUGUGCCUGUCAGAUAUCUCAGCUUGGAUUUGGACCCUUCCACCCAGGGAAGGCCUGCCCAGUCCAAGACCACUCAAUCUCGGUUGACAACUACACGGUGUCCCCCUCCCAGUGUGCAAAGAAACACCCUGUCCAAACAGAACUGUGCAAACAACAACCAUACCUCACACAGGAAGCAGAACAUCCAUAGAGUAUGA
This 1035-nucleotide long non-coding RNA is filed under the name Oncorhynchus kisutch (coho salmon). RNAcentral's name for it is "lncRNA (ENSOKIG00005041631.1)". Lineage: Eukaryota; Metazoa; Chordata; Actinopteri; Salmoniformes; Salmonidae. The record is from RNAcentral.